UACAGAGGGUGCGAGCGUUGUUCGGAAUUAUUGGGCGUAAAGAGCGUGUAGGCGGUCCGGUAAGUCCGCUGUGAAAGUCGGGGGCUCAACCCUCGAAUGCCGGUGGAUACUGUCGGGCUAGAGUGCGGAAGAGGCGAGUGGAAUUCCUGGUGUAGCGGUGAAAUGCGCAGAUAUCAGGAGGAACACCUAUUGCGAAGGCAGCUCGCUGGGACGUAACUGACGCUGAGACGCGAAAGCGUGGGGAGCAAACAGG
RNAcentral lists this ribosomal RNA (253 nucleotides) under uncultured bacterium. RNAcentral describes it as "partial 16S ribosomal RNA". It matches the Rfam family "Bacterial small subunit ribosomal RNA", at positions 524 to 776 of the family's 1533-position model. The record is from RNAcentral.